This 503-nucleotide ribosomal RNA is filed under the name uncultured bacterium. Its description in RNAcentral is "partial 16S ribosomal RNA". It matches the Rfam family "Bacterial small subunit ribosomal RNA", at positions 30 to 523 of the family's 1533-position model. The record is from RNAcentral.
AUUGAACGCUGGCGGCAGGCUUAACACAUGCAAGUCGAGCGGGGUGAUGGUGCUUGCACUAUCACUUAGCGGCGGACGGGUGAGUAAUGCUUAGGAAUCUGCCUAUUAGUGGGGGACAACAUCUCGAAAGGGAUGCUAAUACCGCAUACGUCCUACGGGAGAAAGCAGGGGAUCACUUGUGACCUUGCGCUAAUAGAUGAGCCUAAGUCGGAUUAGCUAGUUGGUGGGGUAAAGGCCUACCAAGGCGGCGAUCUGUAGCGGGUCUGAGAGGAUGAUCCGCCACACUGGGACUGAGACACGGCCCAGACUCCUACGGGAGGCAGCAGUGGGGAAUAUUGGACAAUGGGGGGAACCCUGAUCCAGCCAUGCCGCGUGUGUGAAGAAGGCCUUAUGGUUGUAAAGCACUUUAAGCGAGGAGGAGGCUCUUUUGGUUAAUACCCAAGAUGAGUGGACGUUACUCGCAGAAUAAGCAUCGGCUAACUCUGUGCCAGCCGCCGCAGUAA